Molecule: long non-coding RNA, 1492 nt
Filed under: Lathyrus oleraceus (garden pea)
Lineage: Eukaryota; Viridiplantae; Streptophyta; Magnoliopsida; Fabales; Fabaceae
Description: Pisum sativum (pea) long non-coding RNA (PSAT_LNC029307)
Source: RNAcentral
GAGAAGUCAAUCACUCUAUAAGAUGGUUAAUCAAGAAGAUACAAUUUCAAGACGUCGGGGUAGGCCGGUUUGAGGUACUCGAAUGUUGAGACUACCCCAUAACUUGUAGUUGGGGCAGUUGGUGCGUAUAUCAAGUAAAUUGGGGUAGAGGCAGGCUACGCAUGUUCAAGCUCUCUCCAUGUUUCAGAUCAAGUCUGGAGGUGUAAUAACAAUUUUUCAGCUUGAAGCAGGUGUCGGAGAUUCAUGUCUAGAUGACCUUAUCCUAGCCCAAAUUUCCCACCUCCCUCUAUAUGAGCAUCUGGCUUAACCAUUGUAUAAAUCAUCAUCAUGUACAAAUCAUGUCGCUUCACUCAUGCAUACCAUUCAUCUAGCAUAGCAUGAGGCCGUUUGUGCAAAUCAGAGGAAUCAUAGCCCAAUAUUUAUUGGAAUCUUUAGAUUCCAAACUUGCCUAGUACCUUUUAAAACCAGCUUGUUUGACACUUGUUCCAAAAUCCAACUUGCUUGAUACCUUUUAAAGCCUAGCUUGCUUGGUACCUUUUUCCAACAUUUAGGGUUGAUGAUCCCUUUUAACCUGCAGGGUUGAGGAACUUUUUCAAUCUUCAGGAUUGAUAACCUUUUUCCAACCUUUAGGGUUGGUGAUCCUUUUUUUACUUUCAGGGUUGAGGAACCUUUUUUUGAUCUUCAGGAUUGAUAAAUCUUUUUUGACCUUUAGGGUUGAUGACAUUUGUUUCCCGCCUUCGUGGUUGAGAAUCCUUUUUCCGACUUUCGUGGUUGAUGAACCUUUUCCAAUCUAUGUGAUUGACGAACUUUUUUUCCAAGUUGUAAGGUUGAUGACCUUUCCCUUUUAUCAAAACCUCCGUGUUUGACCUUGUUUCCAAUUUAUGAACCGAUGAUUCAUUUUUGAAACCCCUUGUUUGCAAGAAUAUUUUGAAACUCUCAUGGGCUCUCUGAUUAGCAUACAUCGCCUCAGGUUGCAUAAAAUGAUAAAACGUAUAGCAUGCAUAUCAUGGUCUUCAUUAAAUCAAUAAAAUCAUUAGCAUAUGAACCUAUAAAAGCCAAGCUGACAUCCCUACAUCCCAUACAACCGUCCUCAAUGGGAAAUUUUUUGGAUACUUCGGUAUUUAAUCCACUCAUACCUUGAAACCCGAAAAGCUAUUGCAAUUCGACAAUUCAGGUCUAAGCUGAUUAAAUAGGGGCAGCUGUCGUACCCCAAAAUUUUCCCUCCCCUUUUUACUUUUCAUCUGACCUGAAAUUCAUCUGUGCAUAUUCAUACUUCAUUCAUACGCAUUCACGUUGAUUCAAAGUUGGUAAUUGAUUGAAACCCUAAUCUAAUACAAACAGUUGAUUGAGGUCAUUGGUUGACUUUUUGGUCAACCAGUUGACGAAAGUCAACCAUCCUUCCCCGAGUCCAUCUUGUCUCGACUAAAGCGACACUGAUCAUUCUCUAUGGCCCUUUGACUCACUUUGUUGUUAUGUCCAUCAUGGUCUUGCG